AUGUACUGGCAUUGUUGGUUUCUCCCUUCUGACGAACCAUGAUGUCAUUUAUUUGGUGUUGUGGGGAAUCAGGACUGUUACUUUGAAAAAAUUAGAGUGUUUAAAGCAGGCUCACGCUUGAAUACAUUAGCAUGGAAUAAUGAAAUAGGACGUUUGAUUCUAUUUUGUUGGUUUCUAGGAUCGACGUAAUGAUUAAUAGGGAUAGUUGGGGGCAUUAGUAUUCAAUUGUCAGAGGUGAAAUUCUUGGAUUUAUUGAAGACUAACUACUGCGAAAGCAUUUGCCAAGGAUGUUUUCAUUAAUCAAGAACGAAAGUUAGGGGAUCGAAGACGAUCAGAUACCGUCGUAGUCUUAACCAUAAACUAUGCCGACUAGGGAUCGGAUGAUGUUAAUUUUUUAAUGACUCAUUCGGCGCCUUACG
RNAcentral lists this ribosomal RNA (419 nucleotides) under uncultured Glomeromycotina. RNAcentral describes it as "SSU rRNA". It matches the Rfam family "Eukaryotic small subunit ribosomal RNA", at positions 675 to 1092 of the family's 1831-position model. Lineage: Eukaryota; Fungi; Glomeromycota. The record is from RNAcentral.